This is a small nuclear RNA of Budorcas taxicolor (takin), 109 nucleotides long. Lineage: Eukaryota; Metazoa; Chordata; Mammalia; Artiodactyla; Bovidae. The record is from RefSeq and is a predicted model, not a curated record.
AGCACUCAUUUCAGCGUCUUGUAUACUGAAAUUAGAAUGAUAACAGAGAAGACUAGCACAGCCUUCACACAAGGAUAAUGUGUGAAUUCAAGAAGCGGUCCGUAUUUUU